Molecule: non-coding RNA, 41 nt
Filed under: Histiona aroides
Lineage: Eukaryota; Jakobea; Jakobida; Histionidae
Source: RNAcentral
UGCUACUAUGGACCCGUGGGUGGAACACGGCAUCUCCACCA